CAACAAUGUCAUUUUUUAUUUAGCAAAAAGUAUUUUAAAGUAGCUGAAGUUUGCUUGUUGGAUUUAAGAGAAACUGGUCCAGGUUCCUGAUAUUAAAAGAUGGAUUUGAUCACAACCAUUCGAACAGCGGCCUUCUUGUCCUACUUCUUAAGGCACAGAGCCAAGUUUCUGUUAUAAAGCCUGGAGCAAAUGAAGUCCCCUCUUUGUGAUGCACUCUGGAAACACCUCUGAUGCUCCUGGACAGUGGCCUCUCGCUUCUAUCAAAGGCCAUCCCCCAAUACAGUUCAAAAGAUGGAUGGUCUCAGGGGUGGAGUCAUCAUGAAAGGUAAGAUCAAAAACACAAUGGGCCGUCCAGCUGCCCAGCCAGGCCUCGAGAGGAAGAGGAAGGACUCCUGAUCUUUGUGGGGGGAAAGUUGACGGGCUUCAUUUGUCUGCUCCGCACACACUGUCCUGCCCCAUCACCCUGGAUUUCUCAUUGCUGGGAAGUGCUUUUAUAAGACCCAGAUGAACUUAUAAGAUGAUGUUGACCUGUAUAUAAAAUUGUAUAUAUAUAAUAUUAUGUUUUACUAAUACUGAUGCAGGACAGUUCAUUUUGUUUUCUUUUCAUUGCUAAUUUUAGGGACUACCUAGAAAAGUUCUGCUUUCUCUUUAUUAUAAAGUAAACAGUGUAUUGAUAUUCAGAGAAAUUGUUUUUCUUUGUUGUGCGUGUUAAAUAUUAGCUGUGUCUGAAUUCGUCCGCUAUCUCCUAUAUACAGUAGUGCACUAAAUCGGGUGUUCGCCAUUUUGUAGUGUUGCUGCAUUAAGCUUGGUUUCUGUUAAGGAUUAGCAUUUACCUGAUAUGUUGGUUUACAACUGGUUUAUGCAAUCCAGAAUUUAUUGUUGCCUCUAUGUCUGCAAGUCAUUCGAACCCUGAGGCUUCAAAGCAGCCUCAAGCUAUUACACACCCACCGUGCUUCAAUGUUUGUUGAACAGUUCAGUUAUUUUGUUGCAAUGCAGUUUUUUACAAAACAAAACAUUUAUUAUUUAUGCCAAAAAGUUACACUUGGUCCCAACUCUAUAGCCUUCUAUUUGGCAAAAAAAACUGAAGCAGGUGAUACUCUCUAUGAAUAUAAGAAUUUGUGAAUGCUUACAUCAGCCAAAGAGAAAAGCACAAUAAAGUACACUCAGAACUGUAAUGAGCAAUCUUGUGUUUGUUUAAUAAGAACCUGAGAAUAAGGAUUGCCAUGUAAUUGUUU
Triplophysa rosa is the source of this 1235-nucleotide long non-coding RNA. RefSeq lists it as uncharacterized. The transcript has 3 exons. The record is from RefSeq and is a predicted model, not a curated record. Lineage: Eukaryota; Metazoa; Chordata; Actinopteri; Cypriniformes; Nemacheilidae.